Molecule: non-coding RNA, 27 nt
Filed under: Rattus norvegicus (Norway rat)
Lineage: Eukaryota; Metazoa; Chordata; Mammalia; Rodentia; Muridae
Source: RNAcentral
AAAGUCAGUUGUGUUGGCUGGUGUUUU